AUUGAACGCUGGCGGCAUGCCUUACACAUGCAAGUCGAACGGCAGCACGGGUGCUUGCACCUGGUGGCGAGUGGCGAACGGGUGAGUAAUACAUCGGAACAUGUCCUGUAGUGGGGGAUAGCCCGGCGAAAGCCGGAUUAAUACCGCAUACGAUCUACGGAUGAAAGCGGGGGACCUUCGGGCCUCGCGCUAUAGGGUUGGCCGAUGGCUGAUUAGCUAGUUGGUGGGGUAAAGGCCUACCAAGGCGACGAUCAGUAGCUGGUCUGAGAGGACGACCAGC
Molecule: ribosomal RNA, 280 nt
Filed under: uncultured bacterium
Lineage: Bacteria
Description: partial 16S ribosomal RNA
Rfam family: Bacterial small subunit ribosomal RNA
Source: RNAcentral